RNAcentral lists this ribosomal RNA (116 nucleotides) under Malus domestica (apple). Lineage: Eukaryota; Viridiplantae; Streptophyta; Magnoliopsida; Rosales; Rosaceae. The record is from RNAcentral.
AGGUCUUUUGAGAGCUCACUAACUUCGGGUUCCAUCGGAACACCGAAGUUAAGCGAGUUCGCGCGAGAGCAAUCCCAUGAUGGGUAAUCCACUGGGAAGUUCUCGUGUGAGUUUCU